UCCGAUUUAUCAUCGGCAGUUUCUCUAGAGUACCCAGCAUAACCUGAUGGUAACUAAAAAUGAGGGUUGCGCUCGUUGCGGGACUUAACCCAACAUCUCACGACACGAGCUGACGACAGCCAUGCAACACCUGUGUGUGGUCCAGCCGAACUGAAGGAAUCCAUCUCUGGACUCCGCGACCACCAUGUCAAGGGCUGGUAAGGUUCUUCGCGUUGCUUCGAAUUAAACCACAUAUUCCACCGCUUGUGCGAGCCCCCGUCAAUUCCUUUGAGUUUUAAUCUUGCGACCGUACUCCCCAGGCGGAAUGCUUAUCAAGUUAUCUUCGACACCGAAUAAAUCCGAUAUCUAGCAUUCAUCGUUUACAGCGUGGACUAC
RNAcentral lists this unclassified non-coding RNA (375 nucleotides) under uncultured Rickettsiaceae bacterium. Its description in RNAcentral is "contains 16S-23S intergenic spacer region". The record is from RNAcentral. Lineage: Bacteria; Pseudomonadati; Pseudomonadota; Alphaproteobacteria; Rickettsiales; Rickettsiaceae.